CCCGCUGAACUUAAGCAUAUCAAUAAGCGGAGGAAAAGAAACUAACAAGGAUUCCCCUAGUAACUGCGAGUGAAGCGGGAAAAGCUCAAAUUUAAAAUCUGGCAGUCUUUGGCUGUCCGAGUUGUAAUCUAGAGAAGUAUUAUCCGCGCUGGACCGUGUACAAGUCUCCUGGAAUGGAGCGUCAUAGAGGGUGAGAAUCCCGUCUUUGACACGGACUGCCAGGGCUUUGUGAUAUGCUCUCAAAGAGUCGAGUUGUUUGGGAAUGCAGCUCAAAAUGGGUGGUAAAUUCCAUCUAAAGCUAAAUAUUGGCGAGAGACCGAUAGCGAACAAGUACCGUGAGGGAAAGAUGAAAAGAACUUUGGAAAGAGAGUUAAACAGUACGUGAAAUUGCUGAAAGGGAAACGCUUGAAGUCAGUCGCGUUGGCCAGGGAUCAACCUUGCUUUUGCUUGGCUUACUUUCUGGUCGAUGGGUCAGCAUCAAUUUUGACCAGUGGAGAAGGGUCAGGGGAAUGUGGCAUCUUCGGAUGUGUUAUAGCCCUUGGUUGCAUACAUUGGUUGGGAUUGAGGAACUCAGCACGCCGCAAGGCCGGGUAACUAUUACCACGAUCGUGCUUAGGAUGCUGGCAUAGUGGCUUUAAUCGACCCGUCUUGAAACACGG
This 659-nucleotide ribosomal RNA is filed under the name uncultured fungus. RNAcentral describes it as "eukaryotic LSU rRNA". It matches the Rfam family "Eukaryotic large subunit ribosomal RNA", at positions 24 to 664 of the family's 3401-position model. Lineage: Eukaryota; Fungi. The record is from RNAcentral.